AAUAGAUGGCCUGUUGAAGGAUGUAACCCUCAGAGGUUCUUUCAAAGAGGUGGUUCUUUCUUGGCUGGAAACUUAUCCUUUUCUCGGGCAAAGGUUUCCUUAGAAGGAUCUACCCCUGUUCCUGUUUACAAAGAACCAACACUUGUCAUUCCUGGAACCCCUGGAAUAGUGCAGCAUGAAAUUUUGAAUAAUAGGAGGAAUGUGUUGACUAAGGAUACCUUUGGUUCAGUGAAGCUGUUGGAGAUCAGCAGGGGCAUUGUCAUUGAGAAUUAUGGAAAGGUUUCAUUUGUUCUUUUUCUAUGUACUUG
Molecule: long non-coding RNA, 308 nt
Organism: Carya illinoinensis
Lineage: Eukaryota; Viridiplantae; Streptophyta; Magnoliopsida; Fagales; Juglandaceae
Exons: 3
Source: RefSeq, a predicted model, not a curated record